Molecule: long non-coding RNA, 228 nt
Filed under: Solanum tuberosum (potato)
Lineage: Eukaryota; Viridiplantae; Streptophyta; Magnoliopsida; Solanales; Solanaceae
Description: long non-coding RNA (STUB_LNC010067)
Source: RNAcentral
UGGAGAGGAGGAAGAACCUUGAGCUGGAUUGCCUAAUGGACAGGAUGUGGAAGGCAAUCAAGGUCAUCUUUACCUAUGAUGCCCCCUAGAAUGAUAUUCCCCGGCUCACCUUGGAGGACUUUCGAGAGCUCCCAAUCCUGAGCAAGGCUCAGGCGAGUGGGCAUCAGAGGAUUUGAGUCUGAUUAGGACACCCCCCGGGGAAUAUGUUAAGACUUGUUUGGGUUUGCC